This 354-nucleotide long non-coding RNA is filed under the name Populus trichocarpa (black cottonwood). Its description in RNAcentral is "long non-coding RNA (PTRI_LNC000307)". The record is from RNAcentral. Lineage: Eukaryota; Viridiplantae; Streptophyta; Magnoliopsida; Malpighiales; Salicaceae.
AGAUGGAUCAAACUGAGGUUCUGCACUUGCUUGAGUCACCAGAAGCUCUCAAAGCAAAGGUUAAUGAAGCAAUGGAGGUUCUAAGGACUGUUCAGCAGCAGGCCACUGGCACAGCUGAUCAACUAGCUUCUUUGUCAUUGAAUGACAACCUUGUGCCCUAGGUUGAGCUUGGGCAUAGUUUUUGAAAUGCCAGACAAGAAACCAUUCUAUCUACGGCUUUGAUUUAUACUUUGACUGCCUGGUAGCUUAGGCACCGGUUUUGUUUAUUUUGAGAUUCUUUCAGAAGUUACAUUGAUGAUGGAGACGGUAUUGCUUGAACUUUUGUUAUGCGAGUGACAAAUUUCUGGUGCUUUA